UAUUUUUAUUUAUGAAUUUCUUGCCUUUCAGGCUCCUAAUGUACACAGAUGGACUCUCAUCUAACUCUUCACAGUAAAAUAAUAUUUUCCUGGAAUUGGCAAGCUAAUAUAGAACCUAAUAAGAAAGUGUACCAGAUGCUUGAUGACUUUUCCAAUGUAUCAGAGAUACACAAAGCAUAUUUUAAGCACAAUCUCAGCCUCGUGCCCAACAGAAAUUUGCAAUCAGAUUUCAUGACACCAGAAUUCAACACCAAAAGAAAAAAAAACUAUGAGUUUGUGAAAUUCUGGUAAGGGUUACCCUGCUACAAAGCUCAAGCAAAGCAAAGAACAGCUUUAAUGUUCACCUUAGAGCAAUGCAGCAGCAACAACAGUAAUAUCAAUGUAUGGAUAUAAAUUUUUAUUCUGACACAAGUAAUUAUGAUUUAUGACCAAUAAUUUCUUAUGCUUGCCUUACAUGCUAUGGGUUAAAUGCAACUGAUAAUUCUUAAAAUGGAGUCAAAGUGUCAACUGAAUUUUAAAAUGGUAAAACAGAUAUAUCAUACUAAAACAGUUUAAGAAUCCACUGCACUUAAAUAUAAAAUCCUUAUAUCCAGGUUGAUGAUCAGAGAAUCGUUGUAGCAUCUGUGAAAUCACAUAGCAAGCAAUAUAUCCUAAUGGGC
This 659-nucleotide long non-coding RNA is filed under the name Phasianus colchicus (ring-necked pheasant). Its description in RNAcentral is "lncRNA (ENSPCLG00000003091.1)". The record is from RNAcentral. Lineage: Eukaryota; Metazoa; Chordata; Aves; Galliformes; Phasianidae.